CCCAAAUACAGGGGUGCCGCACACCCCCUAUGUUUCAUCGAUGAGGUGCUGGACCAUGAAUUUCCAGAGGGAUUCAAACCCGUAAACAUAGAGGCGUAUGACGGAACGACAGACCCUGGGGUCUGGAUUGAGGAUUACAUCCUCCAUAUCCAUAUGGCUCGAGGAGAUGAUCUCCACGCCAUUAAGUACUUACCCCUCAAGCUCAAAGGGCCAGCUCGGCACUGGCUUAAAAGCCUCCCCGAAAACUCCAUUGGAAGCUGGGAAGAGCUCGAAGACGCCUUUCGGGCAAAUUUUCAA
Molecule: ribosomal RNA, 297 nt
Filed under: Triticum aestivum (bread wheat)
Lineage: Eukaryota; Viridiplantae; Streptophyta; Magnoliopsida; Poales; Poaceae
Description: partial small subunit ribosomal RNA
Source: RNAcentral